This 252-nucleotide ribosomal RNA is filed under the name uncultured bacterium. RNAcentral describes it as "partial 16S ribosomal RNA". It matches the Rfam family "Bacterial small subunit ribosomal RNA", at positions 524 to 776 of the family's 1533-position model. The record is from RNAcentral.
UACGAAGGGGGCUAGCGUUGCUCGGAAUCACUGGGCGUAAAGGGCGCGUAGGCGGCCAUCAAGUCAGAGGUGAAAGCCCAAGGCUCAACCUUGGAAUUGCCUUUGAUACUGUUUGGCUUGAGACCGGAAGAGGUUAGUGGAACUGCGAGUGUAGAGGUGAAAUUCGUAGAUAUUCGCAAGAACACCAGUGGCGAAGGCGGCUAACUGGUCCGGUUCUGACGCUGAGGCGCGAAAGCGUGGGGAGCAAACAGG